UAGAAUGCUAUGCCUUUUGUGUCACAAAUUUAGCGCUAUGUUAAGCAAUCGUAAUUGGACUUAUGUAGAAGUUACAACUAUUUGAGGCCGGGAAAUAGAAUUUUGGUGUUAAUGCAUGUUAGAGACAUAGUAUAAUGGACUAUACUCCUAAAACAUACCACACACAAAAAGAAUAUGCAAAGUGGUGGACCUAAUCUCAUCCAUACUCAUGUUGAUUUUGCAAUCAACUAGCCUUAGGAUAUUGAGAUAUCAUAGGUCCAUGACAUGAAUGAAUAAAGAAGGGGAAUGAGAUGAAGAGGGAGGGGGAAUGGAA
Molecule: long non-coding RNA, 313 nt
Filed under: Lathyrus oleraceus (garden pea)
Lineage: Eukaryota; Viridiplantae; Streptophyta; Magnoliopsida; Fabales; Fabaceae
Description: Pisum sativum (pea) long non-coding RNA (PSAT_LNC015615)
Source: RNAcentral